CUGCAUGACCCAGUUGGGAACAAGGAUCCCAUGUUGAUUGACUCCCCACCUUGACAAGUAUCUUGUUGUUGGGAUGACCAGCAUGUGACUAUUGGGACAAGAUAGAAGUAUUUACAAAGCCAACAGUUUUGACCAAUUUAUGCGAAUUAGGGCAGAUUUGAGAGUACACUUAAGAGUUUUAAACUUUGUUUGAAAAAACAAAAAACAGUGUUCUUGGAAUAGUUUCUUUGGAGUAGAGCGCAUAAGGCCAAAUUUUAUCUGAUUGUUGGUGAGCACCUGUGGGUUUUUGUGUUCCUUAUGUAGUAUCCCUUAGGUUUGGGUCGAACAAUGUAAACCUUAUCAUUUCCACUGUUUUUAACAUCUCAAAUGAUGUCCCACGUCCUAGGUGCCAAUCCACAAAUGCCCACUCCUACAUCUUCUCCCUCCUCCCUCCAUUUUGCCACUAUGAUGCUGCUCUAAACUCACCCAACUUUUCGAAACCCACCACUCCAGCCUCCUCCUACGUUCGAGCAUCACAUCUCCACAGGACCAAGGGCCUUCCAUCCCAUUGGUUUCAAAUAAUGCCAUCCUCUGAUAUAUAUUGGUUGGUGGUCUAUUUUCUGGGAAGCUCUGGGUCAUCAGCCAGCAUAUAUUGUUCUUCCUCUAUUGCAGGACCUCUCUGUCACAGGACAUCCACUGUUUAAGCACCACCACUACCUCAGGAAGUCCACUGUCUGUGUGUCAACUCCCACUGUUACAGGACCACAAGUGUCUCAGCACUUCAACUAUCACAGCACUUCUACUGUUCAGGAGCUCAAGAGUCUCAGCAUCUCAAGUGUCACAGGACCUCCUUUGUCCAAGAACUGGACUGUCCAAGCAAUACUGCUAUUGCGGGACCUCCACUGUCACAGGAUUUCCACUGUAGGAGCACUACAACUGUCUCAGGACACCCACUGUCCUAUAACCUCCACUAUCCCAGGAAUUCCACUGUCGUAGCACCACCCGUAGCAACUAAAGUGUUUCAGGACAUCAACUGAAGCAAGAUCUCCCAUGAUUCUGCAACUUCACUGCCCCAGGAUCUCUACAGUGACAGGAAUACUUCUGUAUCAGCAAUUCCAAUUUUGCAGGACCUCCACUGUAGCAGAACCUCAAUUGUGCAGCAGCUCCCCUGUAUGUAGAUUGACCUCCACGAUCUCAGUGCCUCCACUUUCAAAGGACCUUCACUGUCACAGAACCGGCGCUAUUUCAGUGCCUCCACUGUCGCAGGACCUACCUCUUCACAGGAUCUGCACUGUUGCAGCAACUGUAAUUUCAAUUUUUCAAAGUCAUUGCUGGUUAUUAGAUUUCAGGCUGAAUGAAAUGAGAUGUUACUUUUGAAAGCAUAAGAAUUUGUUCUAUACCUCUUGUGAUAAAUGCCGUGUUUGCUAGGACCAGUAAACUAUGGAAGACUUCUUCAGCUCAUACCACUCUCCACCUCACUUUGUGGAAGCUGGUGUUUUUAGAGUGUGAUAAACUUCAGGUGAAUGGAUGCAUUCAGCUGCACCACGCUCUAGAGUGGACUACACAGCAGUCAUAUUGAGUCCUUGCUGGGAAGAGAAGAAAUCCAGAAGAAGGAGAAGGCUUGGGUUGGGGGAAGAAUCAUAAAAUACUUAGAGGAUAUUAGAAGGUAAGAAUUAUGGGGAACUGGAAAACAGAGCCAAAGGAAGAAUGAGCACAGAGCAAACUGGGAAGGACAAAGUACAAAGGCACUUGGGUUUUGCCAUCUGCGUGUUCUCUGGACAAUCUCCCUGGGCCACAUUUCUGGGAGAAAACUCUUCCCCCACCCCCUUGUAAGGUUUCAUUCUUGAAGGAAAGCAGCAACACAACUUCAUCAGUGAAUUUCCCCAUUGGAAUUGGUUCAUCCUUUAAUGCUUCUGGGAAAUCCCGAGCUGGGGAAUGUCCUGCUCUCUGCUGAGAGACAGCAGGAAAGUAGGUCGUCCUCUGUUUUCUCGUUGCUACAGCUCUUCUAAGUAUGGCUGAUUGUUGAGUGAAGACACAGGAUACUUCUGGUGUGUAUGUAUGCUUUGUUCACUGUGGGUGUUGUUGGGAGUGUCCUGAAAAGAAGGGCAUGCCCAAUGGCACUUCUGCUUCCUCUUUGACUAGCCUUAUGAUCAUAGGGAGACACUAGGCCAUUGGAAGAUGAGGAGAGCAAUGUGUCUAAGUUGUGUUCACUUCUAUUCCUAUUUAGUCCUAGAGGGAAAUCAGCAAGGGUGUGAGGAAUGCUGCUGUGCACUGACUGUGUGGUGUGAGGAAUGCUGCUGUGCACUGACUGUGUGGUGUGAGGAAUGCUGCUGUGCACUGACUGUGUGGUGUGAGGAAUGCUGCUGUGCACUGACUGUGUGGUGUGAGGAAUGCUGCUGUGCACUGACUGUGUGCUGUGAGGAAUGCUGCUGUGCAUUGACGCUGCCUUUUUUCUUUUCUCCCUACACCUGCAUCCUUCUGGUGGCUCAGGUUGGACAACUAGGUGCCCAUGACCAACUCCUCAUUGUGGAUGGAUUUAGUCUGGUUGGACUUUCUCAGGAAAGGCAGCUGAACUCAUGACUAGUACCAGUUCCACGGUUACCCUGGAAGUUGCAAAUCAAGACAUCCUCUCUCACUGCCUGUCCACCUUUCUUACCAACCCAUUGUCCUCCAUGGUGCAGAGAGGUGUGUGCAGCCGUGCCAGUCUUGUUCACCAUGGGAUGGAAGCGGUCCCUGACCUGUGAGCCUAGAGGUGACCAGGUGCUCCAUUCUGAGACUGAGAGAGGCAGGAUGCCCACUCAAGGGUCCAUAGCAGGGAAGGUUUUCAAGCUAUGUACAGUGCUGGAAAAGCCUACACAGGGCAUACAGUUAGCAGUGAUGUGUUUGCAGGGAGUCCAAGGAACCAGCUUUGUACUGAUGCAGGCCUGUCAUCAGUGCCUUGGCGUUUGUGGGACUCAUCCACAGAGGCAUGCAACUCAGAGAACGGUACCCCAACUUGGUGCACAGGAACUCUUUCAGGUGUCACUUGAUUGUCACAGGUUUCUGCUCGGUCAGCAAGGAAGGGAAGCCUAGCCCUGUGCCAGGAAUGACUGCAUAUGGUCAACACACACUACCCUGGAAGACCCGAGAGUUCAAGGACGGCCAACUUUCACUUAAGCAAACUUGUCCACAGACUGCGUGGGUCCCAUCAGCUGAGAGUAGCCUCCACAUUGCAGUGAUGUGCAAACUUCUGCCUUUCAGCCAUGAUGGACUUUAGGAUCUAACCUGAGGACCCUACACAAGGCACAGGUAGGUGAUGUGUAAAUGAGGCAUGUUACUGGGUCAGGUCUUCAGUGCAGUGUCUUAAGCUGUCAGGCUUUUGGGAGGGCAUAUGCUUCUCUAUUAAAUGAGCUGGCUUCUCUGAAGGCCUCAACUCUGCUGUGUCUGCCGCUCAUGCUCCCUCCUCCAAGAAUCUAACUGUCCCUAGCUCUCUGUGACUGGCUGGUCAGUCAGCCUUCAUGCCACUCCACAGCCACUCUACAACACAGAGCCCACACUGUCCUCUGCAGAAGUUUCACAGGGCUGCUGCUUUAGUCUCUCUGUUGCGCUAUGGGGGUCCAAAGUCAAGUUUCUUAGGUCCCUAGGUGUCCCUGAAAAGGCUCUAGAACAAGGAAGAGGUGAAGAAAUCAGGAAAUAAACUCCUGCAGUACUUCAUGACUACCACUGGAGGGCUCUACACCUUUCUGGUCCUAGUGUGCCACUCAGCAAGCCCUCUCACUCACUCUAAGGUUCUGAGCCUGAUGGAGAGGACUCCUGCUAAACCCAGUGUUCCCAAGAAACUGGCUGUACCGGCAGGGCUAACUGUAGAGGAUUCUCCACGACCCUGAGAACACAAUUUGGAAAUCUCAGGUAGGCAGGGUGUGUGGGGGAGCAACCAGGGCUGGAUGGAGACCUUACCCAGAA
This 3921-nucleotide small RNA is filed under the name Rattus norvegicus (Norway rat). RNAcentral describes it as "uncharacterized LOC102556873". The record is from RNAcentral. Lineage: Eukaryota; Metazoa; Chordata; Mammalia; Rodentia; Muridae.